Gadus morhua (Atlantic cod) is the source of this 1728-nucleotide long non-coding RNA. Lineage: Eukaryota; Metazoa; Chordata; Actinopteri; Gadiformes; Gadidae. The record is from Ensembl.
AGAACAAACGCGAUGUCAGACACCUGAAUCCAACGUGCAAAUUUCAAAACUGGAGAAGGUAAUUUAAUUGUGUAUGCUUGUAGCCUAUCACUAUGCUUAGCCUUGCCCACUUCAGCUCAUCAGUUUUGGGAUUCCCACUGACCUGAACAGAAUCAACAAACUGUUAUUUAUUUAUUUUUCAUUAAAAAAAUACAGGAUUUACUGGUAGGGUACAAGAAAGAGCCGGAAGAAAAUUACGCAUUGGUUGAGCUCAGAAUGAAGGACCUGGAGACCGGCAAUCUGAACCUGGAAGCUCAAUUGCAAGAAAAAUCUCAAGUUAUACUGGCCUUGGAGAAGGAGCUGGAAAACGAGAAACUAAAAUGCGGCGCUAGACUCAAUGAAGUUCAAGCUGAGUUGGCUGAGUGUUUGUCCGAAAAAGAUUUUUUACUGUCCGAGAAAGAGGUCGUAGCGGAGGCGCAUGAAGACACCAUCAAGUCCCUGACAUGCAGGCUAAAGCAACACAAAUGUGUGUGUAUUGAAAAAACUGGCGGUGUGCAACAAGAGCAGCUGAAAGACAUUGAUGAGCUCCUGGAUACAAAAUGCGCUAAAUCGCCACAUGCGAAACAAAAGAGGAAUAGUCAUUUUGAUGUACCCGGAACGUCGGUUCACCAGAUCGGGAUCCAGAUUCAGCCCUCCUCUUCAGCGUUCCAGGAGACCAUCGAUAGAAAGGAAGAUGGGGAAGGACAAGUGACAAGCAGCGGUCUGAGGUCUGAAGCUGAAAUCGCAGGAAAUCAAGUUGAAGAACAGAACAUGAGACCUCAGGAAAGAAGGCAGUCUGAGGUAAAGAAGGUCAAGGCAUUGGAGACGAGGGUGAAAGAGAUGCAACACCAGGUUGAGGAAAGCAAUAACAAAUUAGAAGUGCUUGAAGAAAUGCUGCAAGAUCUAAAUGCCACUGUUUCUUACCAACCGACUCAACGACUGGAUCAGAUAUUCUCAGAUUCUAAAGCAACAGAGAGACAAGCCUCAGGGUCGUUCGACGAAGGCUAUGGAUCAGGCACGGAUCAGAACCUCUCGUCUGUUUGUUUGGACACAGUGAAGGAUCAAGAAACUAACUAUAGGAGAUUGAAGAUCAGGUUAAUGGCUUCUGAUCGUCUAAGAAAAGUUUUGGCAGAGAAGGCGUCUGAGGUUGAGACCCUGCAGAAUGAACGUGAACAUCUUCUGUGUGAUGAAUCCAAGCUGGCAGACGGUCAGAGACACGCACGCCAUGACCUCAUAUACCUUGACAAUGCUCUUGACUCUGCCAGGAGAGAGAUUGAAAGUUUAAUGAUGCAAAUGAAGCUGAUGGAGGAAUUGGACCGCAAGGAAAUGGUUCAGAAGUUUGUGGUGCCGCGGGAUUCCAAACUAAGAGUGUUUCCCGUCAAUACCUCAAACACAGAGACCCUGAGGUUGAGAAGUAACAGCCUUCAACGCAGCAACCUCAACACAAACCAGUACCACCACCCUUCACAUGGUUCCUCACGAUGGUCCACCAACCCUUCCAGGAGCCCCAGUCUCACGCAAGAGGAUAUCGGCCUUCAGCGAAUCGUAGCAGAGGUCAAAGGGUUGACCUACGGGAUUUCACGGGUUCUACGCGAAGCCCACGAUGGAGGAAGUCCCGGUAACUCACGGUCAAGUGUGAGUGCUCAAAUCAUUUUUCAUUCUCGAAUGGGUUGCUUACUCUUGCUGGCAUUUCCUGCCAACAAACGCUAA